GGGUGCAAUUAUACCAGCGUUAAUGCAUUGGAUCCCAUCAUAACUCCGCAGUUAAGCACGCUUGGGCUAGAGUAGUACUGGGAUGGGUGACCUCCCGGGGGAGGAGGGAGCCGCGACAA
Molecule: non-coding RNA, 119 nt
Organism: Picea glauca (white spruce)
Lineage: Eukaryota; Viridiplantae; Streptophyta; Pinopsida; Pinales; Pinaceae
Source: Rfam